GAUGAACGCUGGCGGCGUGCCUAAUACAUGCAAGUCGAGCGAACAGACGAGGAGCUUGCUCCUCUGACGUUAGCGGCGGACGGGUGAGUAACACGUGGAUAACCUACCUAUAAGACUGGGAUAACUUCGGGAAACCGGAGCUAAUACCGGAUAAUAUAUUGAACCGCAUGGUUCAAUAGUGAAAGACGGUUUUGCUGUCACUUAUAGAUGGAUCCGCGCCGCAUUAGCUAGUUGGUAAGGUAACGGCUUACCAAGGCAACGAUGCGUAGCCGACCUGAGAGGGUGAUCGGCCACACUGGAACUGAGACACGGUCCAGACUCCUACGGGAGGCAGCAGUAGGGAAUCUUCCGCAAUGGGCGAAAGCCUGACGGAGCAACGCCGCGUGAGUGAUGAAGGUCUUCGGAUCGUAAAACUCUGUUAUUAGGGAAGAACAAAUGUGUAAGUAACUAUGCACGUCUUGACGGUCCCUAAUCAGAAAGCCACGGCUAACUACGUG
This 497-nucleotide ribosomal RNA is filed under the name uncultured bacterium. Its description in RNAcentral is "partial 16S ribosomal RNA". It matches the Rfam family "Bacterial small subunit ribosomal RNA", at positions 28 to 507 of the family's 1533-position model. The record is from RNAcentral.